RNAcentral lists this long non-coding RNA (281 nucleotides) under Mytilus galloprovincialis (Mediterranean mussel). Lineage: Eukaryota; Metazoa; Mollusca; Bivalvia; Mytilida; Mytilidae. The record is from RNAcentral.
CUUGUCCAUUUUCCUUGAAUCUUCAAAGUUUAUUCCUAAACAGCUGAAUGGAUUACAAGAAGAAUUUGAAGGUAAUACAACAUAUGGGGAUACAUGUAGUUUAUUUAAUAAAAGGAAGAUGUAGUAUGAUUGCCAAUGAGACCAAAUGACACAGAAAUAUUUGUUUGUUUUGUCAAUGCUUAACAUUGCUUUCACCAACCAUAAUUAUAUCAUAAAGCUGUGACAAUACUUGUCAAUUAAUAUAAGAGUCAAAUACACCUUACCAUGACAUUGGUUCUCAG